This 66-nucleotide transfer RNA is filed under the name Chrysomeloidea sp. 8 KM-2017. Its description in RNAcentral is "tRNA-Pro". The record is from RNAcentral. Lineage: Eukaryota; Metazoa; Arthropoda; Insecta; Coleoptera.
CAAGGAAUAGUUUAUAAUAAAAUUUUAAUUUUGGAGAUUAAUGAAGAGAAAUAUUCUUUUCCUUGA